This 497-nucleotide ribosomal RNA is filed under the name uncultured bacterium. RNAcentral's name for it is "partial 16S ribosomal RNA". It matches the Rfam family "Bacterial small subunit ribosomal RNA", at positions 28 to 507 of the family's 1533-position model. The record is from RNAcentral.
GAUGAACGCUGGCGGCGUGCCUAAUACAUGCAAGUCGAGCGAACAGACGAGGAGCUUGCUCCUCUGACGUUAGCGGCGGACGGGUGAGUAACAAGUGGAUAACCUACUUAUAAUACUGGGAUAACUACGGGAAACCGGAGCUACUACCGGAUAAUAUAUUGAACCGCUUGGUUCAAUAGUGAAUGACGGUUUUCCUGUCACUUAUAGACGGAUCCGCGCCGGAUUAGCUAGUUGGUAAGGUAACGGCCUACCAAGGCGACGAUGCGUAGCCGACCUGAGAGGAUGAUCGGCCACACUGGAACUGAGACACGGUCCAGACUCCUACGGGAGGCAGCAGUGGGGAAUCUUCGGCAAUGGGCGAAAGCCUGACGGAGCAACGCCGCGUGAGUGAUGAAGGUCUUCGGGUCGUAAAGCUCUUUUAUUAGGGAAGAACAAAUGUGUGAGUAACUAUGCACGUCUUGACGGUACCUAAUCAGAAAGCCACGGCUAACUACGUG